AGAGUUUGAUCCUGGCUCAGAUUGAACGCUGGCGGCAUGCCUUACACAUGCAAGUCGAACGGCAGCACGGACCUCGGUCUGGUGGCGAGUGGCGAACGGGUGAGUAAUAUAUCGGAACGUACCUUUCAGUGGGGGAUAACGUAGCGAAAGUUACGCUAAUACCGCAUAUUCUGUGAGCAGGAAAGCAGGGGAUCGCAAGACCUUGCGCUGAUUGAGCGGCCGAUAUCAGAUUAGCUAGUUGGUGAGGUAAAGGCUCACCAAGGCGACGAUCUGUAGCGGGUCUGAGAGGAUGAUCCGCCACACUGGAACUGAGACACGGUCCAGACUCCUACGGGAGGCAGCAGUGGGGAAUUUUGGACAAUGGGGGCAACCCUGAUCCAGCCAUGCCGCGUGAGUGAAGAAGGCCUUCGGGUUGUAAAGCUCUUUCGGCCGGGAAGAAAUCGCACGGGCUAAUACCCUGUGUGGAUGACGGUACCGGAAUAAGAAGCACCGGCUAACUACGUGCCAGCAGCCGCGGUAAUACGUAGGGUGCGAGCGUUAAUCGGAAUUACUGGGCGUAAAGCGUGCGCAGGCGGUUUAGUAAGACAGGCGUGAAAUCCCCGGGCUCAACCUGGGAACUGCGCUUGUGACUGCUAAGCUAGAGUACGGCAGAGGGGGGUGGAAUUCCACGUGUAGCGGUGAAAUGCGUAGA
RNAcentral lists this ribosomal RNA (691 nucleotides) under uncultured bacterium. RNAcentral's name for it is "bacterial SSU rRNA". It matches the Rfam family "Bacterial small subunit ribosomal RNA", at positions 8 to 694 of the family's 1533-position model. The record is from RNAcentral.